GGGGAAUCUUGCGCAAUGGGCGAAAGCCUGACGCAGCCAUGCCGCGUGAAUGAUGAAGGUCUUAGGAUUGUAAAAUUCUUUCACCGGGGACGAUAAUGACGGUACCCGGAGAAGAAGCCCCGGCUAACUUCGUGCCAGCAGCCGCGGUAAUACGAAGGGGGCUAGCGUUGCUCGGAAUUACUGGGCGUAAAGGGAGCGUAGGCGGAUAGUUUAGUCAGAGGUGAAAGCCCAGGGCUCAACCUUGGAAUUGCCUUUGAUACUGGCUAUCUUGAGUUUGGGAGAGGUGAGUGGAACUCCGAGUGUAGAGGUGAAAUUCGUAGAUAUUCGGAAGAACACCAGUGGCGAAGGCGACUCACUGGCCCAAUACUGACGCUGAGGCUCGAAAGCGUGGGGAGCAAAC
RNAcentral lists this ribosomal RNA (400 nucleotides) under uncultured bacterium. Its description in RNAcentral is "bacterial SSU rRNA". It matches the Rfam family "Bacterial small subunit ribosomal RNA", at positions 356 to 773 of the family's 1533-position model. The record is from RNAcentral.